UCCGGUGGUAUGAGAGUGGCCUGCGUCUGUAUUAGCUAGUUGGUGGGUAACGGCUCACCAAGGCGACGAUCAGUAGCCGGUCUGAGAGGAUGAACGGCCACAUUGGGACUGAGACACGGCCCAAACUCCUACGGGAGGCAGCAGUGGGGAAUCUUCCGCAAUGGGCGCAAGCCUGACGGAGCAACGCCGCGUGAGUGAAGAAGGUUUUCGGAUCGUAAAGCUCUGUUGAGAGGGACGAGAGAUAUAAUCAGGAAAUGGGUUAUAGAGGACGGUACCUUUCGAGGAAGCCACGGCUAACUACGUG
RNAcentral lists this ribosomal RNA (304 nucleotides) under uncultured bacterium. Its description in RNAcentral is "bacterial SSU rRNA". It matches the Rfam family "Bacterial small subunit ribosomal RNA", at positions 211 to 507 of the family's 1533-position model. The record is from RNAcentral.